RNAcentral lists this ribosomal RNA (484 nucleotides) under uncultured bacterium. RNAcentral describes it as "partial 16S ribosomal RNA". It matches the Rfam family "Bacterial small subunit ribosomal RNA", at positions 30 to 507 of the family's 1533-position model. The record is from RNAcentral.
AUUGAACGCUGGCGGCAGGCCUAACACAUGCAAGUCGAGCGGAUGAAGGGAGCUUGCUACUGGAUUCAGCGGCGGACGGGUGAGUAAUGCCUAGGAAUCUGCCUGGUAGUGGGGGAUAACGUCCGGAAACGGGCGCUAAUACCGCAUACGUCCUGAGGGAGAGAGUGGGGGAUCUUCGGACCUCACGCUAUCAGAUGAGCCUAGGUCGGAUUAGCUAGUUGGUGGGGUAAAGGCCUACCAAGGCGACGAUCCGUAACUGGUCUGAGAGGAUGAUCAGUCACACUGGAACUGAGACACGGUCCAGACUCCUACGGGAGGCAGCAGUGGGGAAUAUUGGACAAUGGGCGAAAGCCUGAUCCAGCCAUGCCGCGUGUGUGAAGAAGGUCUUCGGAUUGUAAAGCACUUUAAGUUGGGAGGAAGGGCAGUAAGUUAAUACCUUGCUGUUUUGACGGUACCAACAGAAUAAGCACCGGCUAACUUCGUG